GUUGAACGCUGGCGGCAUGCCUUACACAUGCAAGUCGAACGGCAGCAUGGAGAGCUUGCUCUCUGAUGGCGAGUGGCGAACGGGUGAGUAAAGCAUCGGAACGUACCGUGUAGUGGGGGAUAACGUAGCGAAAGUUACGCUAAUACCGCAUACGCACUGAGGUGGAAAGCAGGGGAUCGUAAGACCUUGCGCUAUACGAGCGGCCGAUGUCAGAUUAGCUAGUUGGUAGGGUAAAGGCCUACCAAGGCGACGAUCUGUAGCGGGUCUGAGAGGAUGAUCCGCCACACUGGGACUGAGACACGGCCCAGAAUCCUACGGGAGGCAGCAGUGGGGAAUUUUGGACAAUGGGGGCAACCCUGAUCCAGCCAUGCCGCGUGAGUGAAGAAGGCCUUCGGGUUGUAAAGCUCUUUCGGCCGGGAAGAAAUCGCACAGGCUAAUACCCUGUGUGGAUGACGGUACCGGCAUAAGAAGCACCGGCUAACUACGUGCCAGCCGCCGCAGUAA
Molecule: ribosomal RNA, 504 nt
Filed under: uncultured bacterium
Lineage: Bacteria
Description: partial 16S ribosomal RNA
Rfam family: Bacterial small subunit ribosomal RNA
Source: RNAcentral